UCUUUUAAUGCUGAAGGAAGCAAAAUGGUUACCUGUAGUGAUGAUCUUACCCUAAAGAUAUGGGAGACAGAUAUUGGAAGGAUGGUAUCUGGUGAUGACCACACACCUUGGAGUCAUGUUUGCACUCUCUCGGGUUAUCAUGAUCGAACAAUUUUUUCGGUUGACUGGUCAAGGGAAGGCAUUAUAGUCAGUGGAGCGGCCGAUGAU
Molecule: unclassified non-coding RNA, 207 nt
Filed under: Hevea brasiliensis (rubber tree)
Lineage: Eukaryota; Viridiplantae; Streptophyta; Magnoliopsida; Malpighiales; Euphorbiaceae
Source: RNAcentral